Molecule: ribosomal RNA, 426 nt
Filed under: uncultured bacterium
Lineage: Bacteria
Description: bacterial SSU rRNA
Rfam family: Bacterial small subunit ribosomal RNA
Source: RNAcentral
GUGGGGAAUAUUGGACAAUGGGCGCAAGCCUGAUCCAGCCAUGCCGCGUGAGUGAUGAAGGCCUUAGGGUUGUAAAGCUCUUUUGGCAGGGACGAUAAUGACUGUACCUGCAGAAUAAGCCCCGGCCAACUUCGUGCCAGCAGCCGCGGUAAUACGAAGGGGGCUAGCGUUGCUCGGAAUCACUGGGCGUAAAGCGCACGUAGGCGGGUUGUUAAGUCAGGGGUGAAAUCCUGGAGCUCAACUCCAGAACUGCCUUUGAUACUGGCAAUCUUUGAGUCCGGGAGAGGUGGGUGGAACUGCGAGUGUAGAGGUGAAAUUCGUAGAUAUUCGCAAGAACACCAGUGGCGAAGGCGGCUCACUGGCCCGGUACUGACGCUGAGGUGCGAAAGCGUGGGGAGCAAACAGGAUUAGAAACCCGGGUAGUCC